This 200-nucleotide long non-coding RNA is filed under the name Panax ginseng (ginseng). Its description in RNAcentral is "long non-coding RNA (PGIN_LNC005440)". Lineage: Eukaryota; Viridiplantae; Streptophyta; Magnoliopsida; Apiales; Araliaceae. The record is from RNAcentral.
UUCAUCUCAUUUUCCAUUGAACGAGUGUGUUUUACACUCCAUCUCAACCCACCACAUGAUCCAAUUUUUCAACUAGGGAAGGUUCAAAAUUUCUAAAAAAAAAUUCUUCAAAUUAACCAAGAUAUCCCCCAAACUGUAUUCUCCUUCGUUUUGCACUUUAAGUUAUGAUCAAACAAGAUAUAAAGUUCAUAAAUAUCUUU